Molecule: ribosomal RNA, 253 nt
Filed under: uncultured bacterium
Lineage: Bacteria
Description: partial 16S ribosomal RNA
Rfam family: Bacterial small subunit ribosomal RNA
Source: RNAcentral
UACGUAGGUGACCAGCGUUGUCCGGAUUUACUGGGCGUAAAGAGCGCGCAGGCGGUCGUUCAAGUCGAGUGUGAAAGCCCCCGGCUCAACUGGGGAGGGGCACUCGAUACUGAUCGACUUGAAGGCAGGAGAGGGAAGCGGAAUUCCCGGUGUAGUGGUGAAAUGCGUAGAUAUCGGGAGGAACACCAGUGGCGAAGGCGGCUUCCUGGCCUGUUCUUGACGCUGAGGCGCGAAAGCGAGGGGAGCGAACAGG